AUCACUUGCAUUCUGCUUACCAAGGAUGUCUUCCUAUCGGUUGUUACGGGUCCAACAAAACCCUUCCCUGUCCUGACGAAAACUGUGAGUACUGUCACAGAGAGACGGGCACCUGUCAGGGCUGUAAACCUGGAUACAAAGGUCACCGAUGUGAAUUAGGUUGUGAUACAGGAUCUUUUGGUUCCGAAUGCAGUGAAACAUGUGGACACUGUCGUGACAUAAACCAGUGUUCCAUUAUCAAUGGGAUGUGUUUAACCGGAUGUGAUGCUGGUUAUCAAGGGUACCUCUGUAAAUCAUCUUGUGACAGAGGGUCAUAUGGAGUUAAAUGCCAAGAAACAUGUGGACACUGUCGUGACUUGGACCAGUGCUCUAAUAUCAAUGGCAUGUGUUUGACUGGAUGUGGUGCUGGUUAUCAAGGGGACUUGUGUAAAUCAUCUUGUGGAAGAGGAUUUUUUGGUUCCAAAUGCAAAGAAACAUGUGGACACUGUCGUGACGUAAAUCAGUGCUCCAUUAUCAAUGGAACGUGUUUGACCGGAUGUGCUGAUGAUUAUCAAGGGAACUUGUGUAAAACGCCUUGCCCUGUUGGAUAUUUAUGGAAAAACUGUUCCGAAAUAUGUAUCAGCAGUUUCACGUGUGAUGUCUGUAACAAUGAUAAUGCUUUGUGUGAUUAUAGAUGUAGUCCUGGAUGGAUUGGAUACUUUUGUCAAAAAAGUAAGAAACUAAGUUCUUUUAAUUUUGACGUUUGAAAAUAUUUUUUCUGUCUAAAAACAUGUCUAUUAUUUUCGAGCGUCACCAAAAAUAAAUAUAUUAUUAAAAUAUAAAAUGCGAAAUAAGGAAUGCCAAAAAAAAAUCAAAUUUUCCAACAAACAAUUUAUGUUUGUAAACAAACGUGUACUUAAGCGUCACUGGUUUGAAAACAUCGAGUUUACAGGUGAGUGUGUACAUUUCUUCUGUUAUAUUUUCAAAAGCAUCAUUAAAAUACUAAAUAAGUAAACUAACAAAAAAAAUAAAUACAUAUUCUAAUAAGGAAUAAAAUUUGAAAUCGAGUAAACAUUAUUUUAUAUUAUUAUAUACCUUGGAUUUCUCUUAAUUUGAAAGAUUUUUCUCUCUCAAAAAAUCCAAAUUGCCAGGAUCUUAUGUACAACUGCACGUUGUCGCGUUUGUGUUUGGAGAUACUUGGUAUGGGUGAAUUUUUUUGAAUUUAUACGUGGGUGAAUUUUUACACCUUUGAUGUAAAGUAUAUAUUGCUAGAAUUAUGUGUUCUGAAUUAAGCAUAACUUCAAUUGUUUUCACAAUACCAGACGUUAUUGUGUUCGUGUUUGGAGAUUGUUGGUGUGUGUAAAACAGCGGGAAAUGUAAUCAGUGCGUCGUACUUGCAUGUGGAAUAUAUAAAGCAAUAUCAUUUGGGGUUUGAAAAAGGUUUAUUUGAUUGUAAAUGGUACGUGUAAUCAACUUAUUAACACAUUGAAAUUCUAAUGGAUGCUUAAGCAAAAUGUAAGUGUUUUUGAAAAUAUUUAUUAGCCGCUACAUUCAUAAUUCAUUAUUUUAAUUUAGUAAGCAAUUCCAUUGUUUGUCAUUACUAUGUUUAUUCCUUAACUUGGAUAUAUUUCAAAACAGUAAAAAUUGAUCGAUUUAGAUAUAUUUUAAAUUUGUAUGCCUUUCUCUUUAUUUAAAGUACAGUUUUACACAUACUUUGAUUCAUCUUAAAGAAAUAGCAGGUGCAAUUUUGUGGUCGAAAAUGGUGAAGGAAAAUCAAAAUUUACUAAUUUACUAACAAAAUAUGUUUUUGUAAAUUCAUUUUUUUUUUUUAGAAAACGAAGCUGAUCACAAAAUAAAUGUUUAUCUUAUGAGCACAAAGUACUAUAGUUCGAGGACAAGAUGGUUUGGAGCAUCAAUCAAGAAGAAUACCAAUGUGAUGGUGAGGUUGGAAGUUCAACAAAGCUGAACCUUCGUCUAAUUAAGUCACGUGAAAAAGAACUGUUCUUUUAAAAACCCAAACAAUAUUUAUUUCAUUAAAAAUUAUUAUCUCAAUAAACAAUGUCUUUUAUUGAUUUCAAUAUGAUUUAGUAAGCAACGCUUAAUUUGUUUCUUUUUAUAAUAAAUUUGGUUUAUUAUCAUUCUUAUGUAAUAUCUUUCAUAAUUCCGAAGUUAAAUUAUUACGAGGAACACCUUUUUUGAAUCAAUGAAAAAAACGUUGACCAGAAGUAUGUUUUAAAAUCUUAAUUUUAUAUUAUUGAGAAUUAUAUUCAAUAUUUUAUUUUCAUGCAUUUUGGGACGUCUUCUGUAUCUGUUAACCACAUGACGCGCUUAGCCUUAAACACUGCAAUUGAUCUGUCUAAAUUGGAUCGGUACAGCUGAUUAAUGCUAUUAUGCAAGGAAUAUUUUAAUGAAAGAUCGUUUAAUUAGUCAUAUAUGUUACAGUCACUCUAAAUUGUGUCAUUUCUAGUUUGACAUGGUAAACUAAAAGACGCCAAACUUUAAAAAAGGUACAUUGUACAAACUAUAGCAGUAUUCGUAACAUAGGAAUACUCAAAGAUUGAUUUAAUGCGAUACACAUUUAAUGACAAUUCAUUAACAGAAAACUCUAUACUGUAUGAGACUGUCAAACAUUCCAAAUGACAAAAAAUUAUUUUCACCGCCAUUUAUAUUCUUCCGAUAUAAGUUUUAAAAUCUGAUGUUCUCCAUGCUAUCCAUUUAAGAUUUCACAAUAUCCACAUGUAGGGCCUCCGACUUAUAGACAAUAUGAUAUUACUUACCUUGAAAAUCAUUCAUUUUAGCUUUUUUUAUCCUUAGCUUAAAAAUAGAAAAUUGUCUCCACUAGCUUAAAAUACUGUUUGAA
Molecule: long non-coding RNA, 2839 nt
Organism: Magallana angulata
Lineage: Eukaryota; Metazoa; Mollusca; Bivalvia; Ostreida; Ostreidae
Exons: 5
Source: RefSeq, a predicted model, not a curated record